GAAAUGCGAUAAGUAAUGUGAAUUGCAGAAUUCAGUGAAUCAUCGAAUCUUUGAACGCACAUUGCGCCCGCCAGUAUUCUGGCGGGCAUGCCUGUUCGAGCGUCAUUACAACCCUCAGGCCCCCGGGCCUGGCGUUGGGGAUCGGCGGAAGCCCCCUGCGGGCACAACGCCGUCCCCCAAAUACAGUGGCAGUCCCGCCGCAGCUUCCAUUGCGUAGUAGCUAACACCUCGCAACUGGAGAGCGGCGCGGCCACGCCGUAAAACACCCAACUUCUGAAUGUUGACCUCGAAUCAGGUAGGAAUACCCGCUGAACUUAAGC
This 320-nucleotide unclassified non-coding RNA is filed under the name plant metagenome. Its description in RNAcentral is "partial contains 5.8S ribosomal RNA, internal transcribed spacer 2, and large subunit ribosomal RNA". The stretch from base 1 to 105 matches the Rfam family "5.8S ribosomal RNA", at positions 50 to 154 of the family's 154-position model. The record is from RNAcentral.